AGUGAACGCUGGCGGUAGGCCUAACACAUGCAAGUCGAACGGCAGCACAGUAAGAGCUUGCUCUUACGGGUGGCGAGUGGCGGACGGGUGAGGAAUACAUCGGAAUCUGCUUUUUCGUGGGGGAUAACGUAGGGAAACUUACGCUAAUACCGCAUACGACCUACGGGUGAAAGCAGGGGAUCUUCGGACCUUGCGCGAUUGAAUGAGCCGAUGUCGGAUUAGCUAGUUGGCGGGGUAAAGGCCCACCAAGGCGACGAUCCGUAGCUGGUCUGAGAGGAUGAUCAGCCACACUGGAACUGAGACACGGUCCAGACUCCUACGGGAGGCAGCAGUGGGGAAUAUUGGACAAUGGGCGCAAGCCUGAUCCAGCCAUACCGCGUGGGUGAAGAAGGCCUUCGGGUUGUAAAGCCCUUUUGUUGGGAAAGAAGAGCAGCAGGUUAAUACCCCGCUGUUCUGACGGUACCCAAAGAAUAAGCACCGGCUAACUUCGUG
This 492-nucleotide ribosomal RNA is filed under the name uncultured bacterium. RNAcentral's name for it is "partial 16S ribosomal RNA". It matches the Rfam family "Bacterial small subunit ribosomal RNA", at positions 29 to 507 of the family's 1533-position model. The record is from RNAcentral.